GUGAAUCAUCAAAUCUUUGAACGCAAAUUGCACUUUCUGGUAUUCCGGAGAGUAUGCCUGUUUGAGGGUCAGUUAAAUAAAAAUCGGUGUUGUUGCUGCCUUUCGUGUUGACGCGCCGGAUUUGAUUCGUCUUACCUUCGUUUAAGGGACUUAAAAUUUUUGCAUGAUUUUCGAACGUAUUUAAAUCCCUUACGUACGUUUGAAUUAUCUAUUGCUUA
RNAcentral lists this unclassified non-coding RNA (218 nucleotides) under Glomus sp. RNAcentral's name for it is "partial contains 5.8S ribosomal RNA and internal transcribed spacer 2". The stretch from base 1 to 71 matches the Rfam family "5.8S ribosomal RNA", at positions 84 to 154 of the family's 154-position model. The record is from RNAcentral. Lineage: Eukaryota; Fungi; Glomeromycota; Glomeromycetes; Glomerales; Glomeraceae.